This 554-nucleotide ribosomal RNA is filed under the name Brevibacterium iodinum. RNAcentral's name for it is "bacterial SSU rRNA". It matches the Rfam family "Bacterial small subunit ribosomal RNA", at positions 76 to 646 of the family's 1533-position model. The record is from RNAcentral. Lineage: Bacteria; Bacillati; Actinomycetota; Actinomycetes; Micrococcales; Brevibacteriaceae.
CUUGCUGUUGGUGGAUGAGUGGCGAACGGGUGAGUAACACGUGAGUAACCUGCCCCUGAUUUCGGGAUAAGCCUGGGAAACUGGGUCUAAUACCGGAUACGACCAAUCCUCGCAUGAGGGUUGGUGGAAAGUUUUUCGAUCGGGGAUGGGCUCGCGGCCUAUCAGCUUGUUGGUGGGGUAAUGGCCUACCAAGGCGACGACGGGUAGCCGGCCUGAGAGGGCGACCGGCCACACUGGGACUGAGACACGGCCCAGACUCCUACGGGAGGCAGCAGUGGGGAAUAUUGCACAAUGGGGGAAACCCUGAUGCAGCGACGCAGCGUGCGGGAUGACGGCCUUCGGGUUGUAAACCGCUUUCAGCAGGGAAGAAGCGAGAGUGACGGUACCUGCAGAAGAAGUACCGGCUAACUACGUGCCAGCAGCCGCGGUAAUACGUAGGGUACGAGCGUUGUCCGGAAUUAUUGGGCGUAAAGAGCUCGUAGGUGGUUGGUCACGUCUGCUGUGGAAACGCAACGCUUAACGUUGCGCGUGCAGUGGGUACGGGCUGACUAGAG